UUAGCGGUUAGGGUUAGGGUUAGGUUUUAGGGUUAAGGUUAAGGUUAGGGUUAGGUUUUAGGGUCAAGGUUAGGGUUAGGUUUUAGGGUUAAGGUUAGGGUUAGGUUUUAGGGUCAAGGUUAGGGUUAGGUUUUAGGGUUAAGGUUAAGGUUAGGGUUAGGUUUUAGGGUUAAGGUUAAGGUUAGGGUUAGGUUUUAGGGUUAGGGUUAAGGUUAGGGUUAGGUUUUAGGGUUAGGGUUAGGUUUUAGGGUUAAGGUUAAGGUUAGGUUUUUAGGGUUAAGGUUAGGGUUAGGUUUUAGGGUUAGGGUUAGGUUUUAGGGUUAAGGUUAGGUUUUAGGGUUAGGUUUUAGGGUUAGGGUUAGGUUUUAGGUUUUAGGGUUAAGGUUAGGUUUUAGGGUUAAGGUUAAGGUUAGGGUUAGGUUUUAGGGUUAGGGUUAGGUUUUAGGUUUUAGGGUUAAGGUUAGGUUUUAGGGUUAAGGUUAGGUUUUUAAGGUUAAGGUUAGGGUA
This is a long non-coding RNA of Ictalurus punctatus (channel catfish), 507 nucleotides long. Lineage: Eukaryota; Metazoa; Chordata; Actinopteri; Siluriformes; Ictaluridae. The record is from Ensembl.